RNAcentral lists this ribosomal RNA (1704 nucleotides) under Durio zibethinus. RNAcentral's name for it is "SSU rRNA". The stretch from base 378 to 1704 matches the Rfam family "Eukaryotic small subunit ribosomal RNA". Lineage: Eukaryota; Viridiplantae; Streptophyta; Magnoliopsida; Malvales; Malvaceae. The record is from RNAcentral.
GUGACUGGUUACUCUGAUAACUUAUAGGCACAUGGCCUCGACCAAUUGGCGUACAUGAAAAAAAUGCUUAGCUGUACUGAGCUUAAGCCUAUGCCUAUGGUUGAUGCUACCCCUAGAUCAAGUCCUUGAAUUAGGCAAUGGCUUCUUAGGGUGGUGUAAGCAGAAGUUGAGGUCAUAGGCUUCAUCUAGCCAAGUCUCUUGGGUAUUUGGUAGUCUUAUUGUCCCUUCUCAUCAACCAUAAAAAUACCUUAGCCUGGCUAAGCUCAUGCAUAUAGCCAAUGCUACCCAAGACCCCAAGAAUAAGUCUUUGAUUAGGCAAUGUCCCCUUGGGGUGGUGAUAGUGGAGUUUGCAUGUGUGGUCUCGGCUAGACCAAGCAUUGGUGGUAUCAUGCCAUUGUUGCCUAUUGGAUGGCGAAGGCAGUCUUAUGGUCAUUCCUUGUGUUUUUCCCAUGCCAAAUGGUUGUGUCAUGGCCUCGUAUGUCAUUUCAUUUGCUUGUUCAUUGAGUAAUCUAUUGGGUGGGUUAUGGAUCAGUGUGCAUAGAUGCUGCCACUUGUGAGUACUAGUCCACCUCAAGGUGAGCACCAGUCUACUCAUCCCUACUGCUAGCGAUGUGUUUCUAGCCUUAAUUGGUUGGGUCAUUCCUAUGGUGCUAUUACUUUGAAGAAAUUAGAGUUCUCAAAGUAGGCCUAUACUUGUAUACAUUAGCAUAGGAUAACAUCAUAGGAUUUUGAUCUUAUUGUGUUGGCUUUCAAGAGUAGAGUAAUAAUUAACAAGGACAAUCAGGGGCAUUCAUAUUUCAUAGUCAAAGGUGAAAUUCUUGGAUUUAUGAAAGACGAACAACUAUGAAAGCAUUUGCCAAUGAUGUUUUCAUUAAUCAAGAAUGAAAGUUAGUGCCUUGAAGACAAUCAGAUACCAUCUUAGUUUCAACCAUAAACAUUAUCGACCAAGGAUCAACAAAUGUUACUUUUAGGACUCCGUCGACACCUUAUGAGAAAUCAAAGUCUUUCGGUUCGGGGUGAGUAUGAUCGCAAGGCUAAAACUUAAAAGAAUUGAUAGAAUGGUAACACCAGGGGUGGAGUUGAUGGCUUAAUUUGACUUAACAUGGGGAAACUUACUAGGUCUAGACAUAGUAAGGAUUGACAAAUUGAGACCUUUUUCUUGAUUCUAUGGGUGGUGGUGCAUGGUCAUUCUUAGUUGGUGGAGUGAUCUGUCUUGUUAAUUCCAUUAGUGAAUAGGACCUCAGCUUGCCAACUAGCUACACAGAGGUGAUCAUUCAUGGCUAGCUUUUUAGAAAGACUAUGGCCACUUAGGUGAAAGAAGUUUAAGGCAAUAAUAGGUUUGUGAUGCCUUUAGAUGUUCUGGGCCACAUGCAUGUUACACUGAUAUAUUCUAUGAGUUUAUAGCCUUGGCCGACAAGCUCAGGUAAUCUUUGAAAUUUCAUCAUGAUGGGGAUAGAUCAUUGCAAUUGGUGGUCUUCAAAGUGGAAUUCCUAGUAAGUGUGAGUCAUCAGCUCAUGUUGACUAUGGCCUUCCCCUUUGUACACACCACCUAUUACUCUUACCGCUUGAAUAGUUUGGUGAAGUGUUUAGAUCAUGGUGACAUGGAUGGUUUGCUACCCAUGACAUCACAAGAAGUCUACUGAACCUUGUCAUUUAAAGGAAGGAGAAGUUGUAACAAGGUUUUUGUAGGUGAACUUAUGAAAG